AGUAAUCAUAAACACAAAAUUCAACAUAAUUGAUUAGAUUCAACAGUCCAUAAAUAAACAAACAUAUCUAAAAUCAGGCCAAUAAAACAAUAAAUAAAGCCUAUUGCCACUCGAUGAGUUUAACGAUGUCGUGCUGCCGCUCUGCACCCUUUCCCAUCAUUCACACCUAACCGCUCAAUUGUCUGUGCCGAAGGAAUCCCACACAGCGCACCCCUCCCAACCAAUCUAUAGAUACAGAUACUCCAUAUAGCACUACCAUCUACCAUAUCUACCACGCUGUCAGAGGAGCGUGCGCUCUAAUGCGCUUCACAUAACAUUUUGAUCAUUUUAUGAUCUGUCGAUUAGCCAC
This is a non-coding RNA of Drosophila melanogaster (fruit fly), 349 nucleotides long. The record is from Ensembl. NCBI's taxonomy places the organism in Eukaryota, Metazoa, Arthropoda, Insecta, Diptera, Drosophilidae.